UCAGAAUCAGAUCGGCGUCUGGUGAAAACACUGUCCACAUCUGGAAGGCGUUUAAGUCAUGGAGAGACCUCCGCUUUUUUUUUUUGGAUAUAAAAACUGACAGAGUUGGCUUUCAUCCUGUUGGACAGUGUCACCUUCAUCUCUUCAUGCGAGUACUGUACCUGUUGGUCUUCCAAAUGUGGAUGGUCUCUGGGUCAGAGAUGCCGUGUUGUCCUGCCUGGUCGUCCAGCAGGUCAAAAAAGUAUUUGACAGCCAGCGGGACAGGACGACUGGUGCUGAGGAUCACGGUGAACAGAUCGUCUACAAACUUCUGCAACGUCCCCUGAAGAACAUGGCGGAGGAGGGCGAGAGUCAAUAUGAUUUAGUGCGGAGCAUCAGCUUUGGGUUCUUGGCCACAUACUGCUCCACCAGGUCGUUGAGGAGAGUUUUGAGGAUGUCAGUGAAAUACUCCAGUUUGCCAUGCAGCGCCACCGUCAGCAGGGAGGCCACGUAGGCCCUGUCCCUGGGAGAGAAAGUCCGCUGGCUCUCAAGAGUGUGAAUGAACUGAGAAGAAGAGCAGCAAAUUAUCCCUCUGAUCAAACUGCUGGUGUUGUCUUAA
Long non-coding RNA from Micropterus salmoides (largemouth bass), 598 nucleotides. RefSeq lists it as uncharacterized. The transcript is spliced from 3 exons. The record is from RefSeq and is a predicted model, not a curated record. NCBI's taxonomy places the organism in Eukaryota, Metazoa, Chordata, Actinopteri, Centrarchiformes, Centrarchidae.